UACGGGGGGGGCAAGCGUUGUUCGGAAUUACUGGGCGUAAAGGGCUCGUAGGUGGCCAACUAAGUCAGACGUGAAAUCCCUCAGCUUAACUGGGGAACUGCGUCUGAUACUGGAUGGCUUGAGUUUGGGAGAGGGAUGCGGAAUUCCAGGUGUAGCGGUGAAAUGCGUAGAUAUCUGGAGGAACACCGGUGGCGAAGGCGGCAUCCUGGACCGACAUUGACGCUGAGGCGCGAAAGCCAGGGGAGCAAACGGG
RNAcentral lists this ribosomal RNA (253 nucleotides) under uncultured bacterium. RNAcentral describes it as "partial 16S ribosomal RNA". It matches the Rfam family "Bacterial small subunit ribosomal RNA", at positions 524 to 776 of the family's 1533-position model. The record is from RNAcentral.